RNAcentral lists this long non-coding RNA (2032 nucleotides) under Cricetulus griseus (Chinese hamster). Its description in RNAcentral is "lncRNA (ENSCGRG00015034031.1)". The record is from RNAcentral. Lineage: Eukaryota; Metazoa; Chordata; Mammalia; Rodentia; Cricetidae.
GGCUGAGCUUAUUGUUUGUUUGAUUAACUUUCUUUGAAGAUCAGCAAAGCCACAGGCUUGGGGGGGGUAGUCAGUGUGAAGAGAGAAAUGGGAGCUGAAAGUAAGCAUGUUGAGUGGUUUUGCUGGUCUCACACAUGAAUGUGAACCUGGAAGAUGAGAUCAAGAGAAGAACUGGGUGUGGCUGUCAUUUGAAAAGCAACAGCCAUAUUUGCUUGGGCAUACUUUCCUGCCAUGAUGGACUCUACCCUCUGAAAUCAAUAGUCAAAACAAGCCUUCUGACCUUGCAGUGUUUCUGCCAGGUAUUCUGUCACAGUGGUGAGAAAACAAAGCACUCUGAUCUCAUACGGAAUUUGAGUGAAUACCCACUGCAAUCACCCACUGGGCAUCCAUGAGCACCUUCUAUAUGAGAGCCCUGGAAGCCAAGGAGAAGGCCUGUUGCUCGUGUUCCUAAGGAGCCAGCUCCUAUGCCAAGGAGGAUCUGACUUUUUGAACACAAUGACAGGUUCACAGUUAUAUGUGAGUAGAGCAUCCCUGAGAAGCCCAGCACUCACCCUACCCAGAGCAGUACAAAUCAAACCCGUGAUCCUAGAAGCUGACUAUAAUCCAUACUAAGUCCCUGAACCCACAGAAGAGUACAGAAAAAUUAGAUGAGUGUGUUCCAAGCAUUGUGUCAUCAUUACUGGAUAAACGAAGUAAAUACAGUAGUACUCCUUCUUCAUAUGUUUUAGGUUGAGGUAAGGACAUGAAUACAUGGUUUAAACCAUCUGGGGUUUUGUUGUUGUUUUGUUUUUACAAUGAACUACAGAAAUAGUGCCUUCAAGAAAGUGGUCUUUGAAAGGAGAUCCAUUGAGUUUAAAAGGGAGAAUUCUUGGAAGAGGUGAGCUUAAACCUAGAUAUUUAACUGACAUGCACAGAGACAGGUCUUCAGCCAAACCUCCCGUGGCUGCAUUUACCCAUCCAUAGAAUGGACAGAACCACACAGAAGUCGCAUAGGAAUGACAUGUGAGAACAUGGGUGUGGCACCCAGGCAUGUAGGAAGUACCAAUGGCUAUCAGAUUCAUAUCAAGUUUAUUUUUAGAGAUGCUGAUGAAAAUAAAAGAACACUUUCCAGCUUUCCAUUUUCCAUAUUGAAGACAAGUUAUCUUUGACAUAAAAAAAAUAAUACCAAGUUUAAUGAUUUGUUCAUACAGUUCCCAUCCUAAAUUUAUAAUAGAUUUGGGUGGCUGCAUGGCAGAAGAUCAAAUGAGGGUUUUCCUUUCACAAAGAAAGUGUUAUUUGAGGCAGAUAUUUGUUAAUUAAAUCCAGUGAAGUGUGAUAGAUAGCAGUAAUAAGAUGCCAUGUUGACCAACAAGUCAUCUCCCAAAGGAGUGGCUACAGUGAAGUCUAUUCUUCACUGUCCUCAGAGCUUGAACAUCAGUAUUACAGCUCCAUUCAGUCACAGCCCCAACCUAGGCAGGUCCUGAUAGCAUCAGUGGCUGGAAACAUGGAAGGGACACAUUGUUUAGAGUUGUCCUCCAAGCAAUAUGUGAAGCUUUAUUGCAACCACAGGGCUUAGCCUGUCAGAGACAGAUAGAGAACUCAGCUUCCUGUUUUAGAGUGUAAAAAACACACCCAGACUUCAGGACCUUUCUGAGCCCAAAUGGAUCAUCUCUGCAGUGCUCAGUGCUAAAUGCAUCCUUCAAGUACCUGCUUUCUAGGGGAAUGCUAGGAAGCCCAGAUUUCUCAGUUCCUCUGAGAAAAUAUGGAUGUGAGAAAUGGUGGGGGUUCUGAUUUCCAUCUCUAGUCAUCAAGGUUCAGAUUCCAUUAUGGCUUCAAUUUAACAUCCCCACCCCCUAAAGCUAGCACCUGCUACUUGAGAUUGGGCCUUAUUUGGAAAUAGGGUCUUUAGGGAGGGGGUAGUGAAAUUAUAACAAGUAGAUUAGGACAAAUCCUAAUCCAGUAUGAUUGAUCUUCUUAUAAAAAGUGAAAUUUGGGCAUAAUAAAACAUGUACUUAGAGGAGAAAUGACAGGAAAUGACUCAGGGACAAGGUGG